AACGAACGCUGGCGGCAUGCCUAACACAUGCAAGUCGAACGAGACCUUCGGGUCUAGUGGCGCACGGGUGCGUAACGCGUGGGAACCUGCCCUUAGGUUCGGAAUAACUCCCCGAAAGGGGUGCUAAUAUCGGAUAAUGUCUUCGGACCAAAGAUUUAUCGCCUUUGGAUGGGCCCGCGUUGGAUUAGCUAGUUGGUAGGGUAAAAGCCUACCAAGGCGACGAUCCAUAGCUGGUCUGAGAGGAUGAUCAGCCACACUGGGACUGAGACACGGCCCAGACUCCUACGGGAGGCAGCAGUGGGGAAUAUUGGACAAUGGGCGAAAGCCUGAUCCAGCAAUGCCGCGUGAGUGAUGAAGGCCUUAGGGUUGUAAAGCUCUUUUACCCGGGAUGAUAAUGACAGUACCGGGAGAAUAAGCUCCGGCUAACUCCAUG
This 433-nucleotide ribosomal RNA is filed under the name uncultured bacterium. RNAcentral describes it as "partial 16S ribosomal RNA". It matches the Rfam family "Bacterial small subunit ribosomal RNA", at positions 29 to 507 of the family's 1533-position model. The record is from RNAcentral.